RNAcentral lists this ribosomal RNA (679 nucleotides) under Bursaphelenchus sp. NK-2010c. RNAcentral's name for it is "eukaryotic LSU rRNA". It matches the Rfam family "Eukaryotic large subunit ribosomal RNA", at positions 367 to 944 of the family's 3401-position model. Lineage: Eukaryota; Metazoa; Nematoda; Chromadorea; Rhabditida; Aphelenchoididae. The record is from RNAcentral.
AAAAGUACUUUGAAAAGAGAGUGCAAGAGAACGUGAAACCGUCAUAAUGGAAGCAUAUGGAGUUGACGUAUCUAAGAAUGUGUUCAGAUUAAUAGCAAUAUUAAUUGCAUUCGCAUUUGGAGUGUGCUGAAUAAUACGAUGGUAAUAGUUGAGGUUAGUUUAGAGGCCAUCUUUUUUGAUGAAACCUGAAUUAUUUCGGAGACUAUUUACUGUUGUAUUUUUAAUAUUAUUGGUUCUUCGAGUUUAACAAGUAUGUUUGAAUUGAUGUAUACUGUUUGCAUGCAAAUGGUUUAUGACGAUUUCGACGUAUUGGUUGAAUUCACAAUAAUAUAUUCGGUAUCAUAGUCAAUGACCCAUUUGACCCGUCUUGAAACACGGACCAAGGAGUGUAACGUAAGCGCGAGUUAUUGAGUUUACAAAACUCAAAAGCAGAAUGAAAGUGAGAUAUUUGAUUAUCAUAUAAUCAAUUGUAGCAUAUAAUGUUGCAAUACAAUUAUGGCUCAUGUUGAAGAUUUAUCUUGAUGUGACGCUUGAGCGUUUGCGUUGCGACCCGAAAGAUGGUGAACUGUGAUUGAACAGGAUGAAGUCAGAGGAAACUCUGAUGGAAGUCCGAAGCGGUUCUGACGUGCAAAUCGAUCGUCUGAUUUGAUUACAGGGGCGAAAGACUAAUCGAACCAUC